UCUAGCCGUAGGGGCAUUAAAAAACGCAGCUUAAAUCCCCCGCUGUGACGUCACAAUCAGUCGACUACAUCAUGGAGGCAAGGGGAGGCAGGAGCUCGGCAGUCAGAGCACAUUUUCGUCCCUUUCCUCACCUCCAGUCACGGAAUAUGAUAACACUACAACUUUGAAUCUACAGCCAGACAUACCCCAGCUGAUCUCAAGUUCCCCAGAAGCACUCAGACGCUUACCCACUCCACACACCAGUGACCAGCAGGCAACUAGGUUUGGCGAGGAUUCAAACACGAGCCGCCUUAGCCAACUACGACACCCAGCCAGUCAAGGAGGUGGGAGAGACUUGCUGGAUGAGGCGUUGGACCAGUUCACUGUGAAAGAAAUCAGUCACCAAUGGGAAUUAUAGUGAGUAACAUUGCAGGUUUACUUCACAUAUAUUGAUAAAGGCGCUAACAUCACUUGACUGUGUUUGUUGUUGUGGGCGACACGGAGUAUUACUAAGAACAGCACGGAUUAUGGCAAGAU
Portunus trituberculatus (swimming crab) is the source of this 516-nucleotide long non-coding RNA. RefSeq lists it as uncharacterized. The transcript has 3 exons. The record is from RefSeq and is a predicted model, not a curated record. Lineage: Eukaryota; Metazoa; Arthropoda; Malacostraca; Decapoda; Portunidae.